AAUGAACGUUGGCGGCGUGGAUUAGGCAUGCAAGUCGUGCGCGAACCGUAGCAAUACGGUGAAAGCGGCGAAAGGGAGAGUAAUGCGUAGAUACCUGCCCUCGGGUCUAGGAUAGCCACGGGAAACUGUGGGUAAUACUGGAUGAUGUCUCCGGACCAAAGUUGUGAUUCCGCCCGGGGAGGGUCUGCGUCUUAUCAGCUAGUUGGUGAGGUAACGGCCCACCAAGGCUAUGACGGGUACGAGGCGUGAGAGCGUGUCCUCGCUCACUGGGACUGAGACACUGCCCAGACACCUACGGGAGGCUG
RNAcentral lists this ribosomal RNA (305 nucleotides) under uncultured Planctomycetota bacterium. Its description in RNAcentral is "bacterial SSU rRNA". It matches the Rfam family "Bacterial small subunit ribosomal RNA", at positions 29 to 351 of the family's 1533-position model. Lineage: Bacteria; Pseudomonadati; Planctomycetota. The record is from RNAcentral.